RNAcentral lists this long non-coding RNA (4133 nucleotides) under Canis lupus familiaris (dog). RNAcentral describes it as "lncRNA (ENSCAFG00845022505.1)". Lineage: Eukaryota; Metazoa; Chordata; Mammalia; Carnivora; Canidae. The record is from RNAcentral.
UCAAAAUUCGAAGCUAUAAAUGCCCAGACUCUCUUACAAUGUGCUUGGAGGUUGAAGGUGGGGACUGUGGGCUCACCUGUGUCUAAAGCCCAGCUGUCCCACGUCUAGAUGACCUCGAGCAAGUGACUUAAUCUGAGCCUCGGUUUCUUGUUCCUACAAAACAGAACUCACCCAUACCAUAGUGCUGUUUAAAUGAGCACGGGAUCGAGCAUGGGGUAAGUGCUCAACAAAUGCUAGCAUUACUGUUUUUAUUAUCAACCCAUCAUCAUCACUAUCACCACAACUCCGGCUCACACAGGAAGCCUGAAAACACGACAGAUACAUAUAUAUUUUCUACGUACGUUUAGUGCUUCCUUACUGUUCUACUCAAUUUAAUUCAGACUCCCACUGCCUGAGCAUCACCAGGGCUCCUUGGAAUCCCUACACAUUAUCUUAGGGCUGAGACUUCGAAAUAAGGCCCCCAAAUUUUUCACAGGAUAGAACAAAUGCUGCCCUAUCUCCUGACAAAAGCAAGAUAUCUUCUAAGUCAACAAUAGAAAAAAAAAUGUUUAGAUAGGUAUGUUCAUGUGGUUUGUUUCUAGAAGACCUGAAGAAGAAGAAAAUGUCAGCAUGUCCUUAGAGACGCCUGGCAAAUAGGGGAAGAAAAAAAAAAAACACUAGAAAAUUGAAGUCGCCUGCCAGAGGAGCUGGCACAGGGCACGACGACCAGGCCCUGCACCAAAGACUCACCAACACCCCCACAGAGUAAAGCAACAGGUUGUGGUACAGCACUGGCCGCUUCCUAGGUAAGUGGCUGAAAGCCAACCAAGUUCAAGGAAAAAAAAAAAAAAAAAAAAAAAAAAAAACCCUUUUUUUUUAAGGCUAUAUGAAAAGAGAAGAGAAACUGCAUAGGAGUAAACUCUACUUGGUAAGACAAACAUCUGGUUCUCCUUUUCCUUUCUGCCAGGCAGAGACGGUGGAACAAGACCCUGGAAAAAGAUCUGUGGUACUGGGUGGACCACACCUCAUCACCGGCAGGCAAAGCACCAUGGUGACCUUUGGCCUGCCGGGCCCUGCAGCACCACACCGCCCCCAAGGAACCCAAAUCUUGCAGUGUAUCCUUCCAGCCACACAUCUCCGAGAUCAUCUGGGAAGGGGUCCAGGCCCCUGCACUGGGGAGGGGCACAGGCACGUCAGUCUCCAGACUUGCUGGUCAGCCACAAAAGCCCCAAACUUCAAAAUAGUCAAAGGAAGUAUGUCAUGGAAUUCACCUAUCACGAGGACCUCUUUCGGCCUCCAAAACCUCAUGGCCCCUGUGGGGACUUCUCCUGGGCACUACCUACGUCCCGCUCAGGAAAAUAGGGAGAAAAACAGCUUCCUCACAGAAAUGUGGACUGGGGCCAAAUGGAGUGCCCCUGAAAUCCAAGUGGAUAAUAAUGCCCCUGUGCUGGGUCUGUCCUGAAUGCUGCCUCUGUUCUGCUUUUUUCCACAAUAAAGGCAUAGAACUGGAGAGCUGAGAAGGCCCCUGGGGGCCCAGAGAAACGAAAUAAUUUACAAAGGUCACAGGGCCUGCAAGUGGCCAAGCUAAGCCUCAAUACCCAGCUUUACCCGUAAGAACUGGAAAGUACUACCCUUCUGGAGUACAACCUACUUGCUCCAUUAAAGACUUUGCCCCUGACCUGGGAAGUAAGUGCUCCGCAGGGGAACACGGAGGGAAUUAGCAAUAUGGAUUCUGAGCCAAUAAAAAGAUUCGAACCCAGUUCUGUCCCUUACCAAAGUAUGUGACUUCAGGAAGUUCCUAAACUUCGGUUUCCUCAUUCAUCAUCACCAGCCCUGUCAGAGGAUGAAUGUAUCAAUAGAGUUUCUAAAAUAGUGUUUGAGGGGCACCUGGGGGCUCAGUGGGUUAAGCAUCUGCCUUCAGCUUGGGUCAUGAUCCCAGGGUCCUGGGAUGGAGCCCCACGUCGGGCUCCCUGGUCAGCGGGGAGUCUGCUUCUCCCUCUCCCUCUGCUCCUUCCCACCCACUCCCCCUACUCAUCUUCUCUCUCUCUCUAAUAAGUGAAUAAAAUCUUCUUUAAAUUUUUAGAAAAUAAAAUAGUGUCUGAAGGGGCGCCUGGGAGGUGCAGUUGGUUAAGCAUGUGACUCAAUUUCGGCUCAGGUCAUGACCUCAGGGUCGGGAGAUCAAGUCCCACCUGAGGCUCCACACUCAGUGUGGAGUUUGCUUGAGAUUCUCUUGCUCCCUGUCCUUCUCCCCCUGCUCCUUUUCUCUCUCUCUCUUUCAAAUAAAUAAAUAAAACUUUAAAAAACAACACUGUCUGAUGUAAAUAAUUUAUAAUACAUCAUCAUCAUCCUAGAACAGAGGGGAAAUGAGAGUGAAAACGUUGGGGGUUACAUGAAAAAAGAAAGCGGGUGUGUGGUCAUUAAAUAAAUAGAACAUCGUUUAACUUAAAAAACCGUACAGAUACACCAAGAGUCAUGCUGACAGUGGCUAGUGGGAAAAUGAAAGCAAAACAAGAACAUGCAAUGAAAUGUUAGGAUAACACAACUCCAGUGAUGUUAAAGGAUCAUCCCUGCAUAUACACAUAUACUCCAAAAAGAGAGCAAAAGAAAAUAAAUGAAACACUAACAGCCCAGUCUCUGGGCAGUGGGAUUACCACUGACUUUUACUGUCUUCUCUACCUCCCAAGUCUCACGUAGCAGACAUGUAUUAUUACUUCGGAAAUCAAAAUAACUGUAGGUUUUAAAGAUUAUUUUUGUUUAAUUUUUUUUAAAGUUUAUUUUUUUAGUAAUCCCUACAGCCCACAUAGGGCUCAAACUCAAGAUCAAGAGUCACAUGCUCUUCCGACUGAGCCAGCCAGGUGUCCUGAAACAUCAUUUUUAAAGAAGAAACCUGACACCAGGCGGGGUCUGGGUCUCGGUGGCCAAAGGGCUAUUCCAAGCAGCUACAACGGGGUAGGUGGAACCCUUGGCGGCGGUGUUGGGGAGGGGAGACCCACAGAGGGAGAGCAGGGGUCCCAGCGAGGACCAAGAAUUUCCUUCUUUUCAGCAUCCGGACGGAAGAAAGGGACCUGCUGGCCCGGGGCCGCUGACGGAGCUAGGCCAGGGCCCAGAGGGAACUUGCGGGGGGUCGAACAGGCCGCGUUGAGUGUGGCAGCUUUCUCCGGAAAGCUUCCUGGCUGGUCCUCAGCGCCACGUCUAGCUUGCGUUCUCAGCUCACCCCUUCUGCAGGACUCGUUGUGAGGGGCGGACAGACGGCAGACAGAAGAGCAGGACACACAGGAGGGAUGGUGAGGGCAGUACCGGGCCCCUCCCAGCUCCGGCUCAAGGUCCGUCUGUAUCUGAGCAGCCUCCUACCCUGCGGUGGCGGCACGAGCGCCCUGCCCCGGCGCCUCUGCUGCUUUCCCACCAGCUGCCUCUUCUGAGCAGCACCCUAGGAUCAUGGCAUGUUAAGGUUCAUCCAGAACACCCACCCAGUUUCCCUAUUUACAGAUGAAGAAAACGAGGAGGAAAAGAGAGGAUGGGGUGUCUGAACCUACACACUCAGAUGAGAACACACACUGGCCCAAUACUGUCUGCUUCGGGGCCUUGCCUGAGGUCACCGGACAACUGUCCCUUCUGGCACUCACCGCUGCCUACAAACUGGACUGCAUGCCCCACUGCUGUGAAAGCCCCAGUCCAAUCCCUAGGCUCCUCCUGGACAGAUGUCAACAUAUAAAGUAAUCCAGAAACCUCAGUGAAAUUCAACAGGGGGGACUCUUCCCUUCUCGUAAGGGCUAAUUAUAACAGGAAACAUUUCAAUCCAAAAAGUGACCCCGCAACAGUGGACUGUUGGGACCAAUGAUGACCCAUGGGGAACACUUCAUGGAUAUUUGCACAGUCUUAAAGUAUCUUCCCCAAAAUGUUAAUGUGAAUAAAAAUAUUAUGAAUUACUGCGGUGGUUUUAAAAUAUGAUUACAGGGAUCCCUGGGUGGCGCAGCGGUUUGGCGCCUGCCUUUGGCCCAGGGCGCGAUCCUGGAGACCCGGGAUCGAAUCCCACGUCGGGCUCCCGGUGCAUGGAGCCUGCUUCUCCCUCUGCCUGUGUCUCUGCCUCUCUCUCUCUCUGUGUGUGACUAUCAUAAAUAAAUGAAAAUUAAAAAAAAAUAAAAUAAAAUAAAAUA